Molecule: ribosomal RNA, 790 nt
Filed under: uncultured Actinomycetes bacterium
Lineage: Bacteria; Bacillati; Actinomycetota; Actinomycetes
Description: bacterial SSU rRNA
Rfam family: Bacterial small subunit ribosomal RNA
Source: RNAcentral
AAAGUCCGCAAGGAUGAGUACAGUGGCGUACGGGUGAGUAACACGUGGAUGAUCUACCUCUUAGCGGGGAAUACCUCUGGGAAACCGGAGACAAUACCGCAUAAGCUCGAAAGAGGAAACCCGAAAGGGGCUGAGAGAGGAGUCCGCGGCCGAUUAGCUAGUUGGUAGGGUAAAAGCCUACCAAGGCCGAGAUCGGUAGCCGGCCUGAGAGGGCACACGGCCACACUGGCACUGAAACACGGGCCAGACUCCUACGGGAGGCAGCAGUGGGGAAUCUUGCACAAUGGGGGCAACCCUGAUGCAGCGACGCCGCGUGAGCGAUGAAGCCCUUCGGGGUGUAAAGCUCUUUCGACGGGAACGAUAAUGACGGUACCCGGAGAAGAAGCUGCGACUAACUACGUGCCAGCAGCCGCGGUAAUACGUAGGCAGCAAGCGUUGUUCGGAGUUACUGGGCGUAAAGAGUGCGUAGGCGGCUCACCAAGUCUGCUGUGAAAUCUCCCGGCUUAACCGGGAGGGUGCGGUGGAAACUGGCGGGCUGGAGUGUGGGAGAGGUCAGCGGAAUUCCUGGUGUAGCGGUGAAAUGCGUAGAUAUCAGGAGGAACACCGGCGGUGUAGACGGCUGACUGGACCAUGACUGACGCUGAGGCACGAAAGCGUGGGUAGCAAACAGGAUUAGAUACCCUGGUAGUCCACGCCCUAAACGAUGCACACUUGGUGUGAGCCAUUCAUUUGGUUCGUGCCGGAGCUAACGCGUUAAGUGUGCCGCCUGGGGAGUACGGUCGCAAGGCUG